AACGAACGCUGGCGGCAUGCCUAACACAUGCAAGUCGAACGAGACCUUCGGGUCUAGUUGCGCACGGGUGCGUAACGCGUGGGAACCUGCCCUUAGGUUCGGAAUAACUCCCCGAAAGGGGUGCUAAUACCGGAUAAUGUCUUCGGACCAAAGAUUUAUCGGCUAUGGAUGGGCCCGCGUUGGAUUAGCUAGUUGGUAGGGUAAAAGCCUACCAAGGCGACGAUCCAUAGCUGGUCUGAGAGGAUGAUCAGCCACACUGGGACUGAGACACGGCCCAGACUCCUACGGGAGGCAGCAGUGGGGAAUAUUGGACAAUGGGCGAAAGCCUGAUCCAGCAAUGCCGCGUGAGUGAUGAAGGCCUGAGGGUUGUAAAGCUCUUUUAACCGGGAUGAUAAUGACAGUACCGGGAGAAUAAGCGCCGGCUAACUCCGUG
This 433-nucleotide ribosomal RNA is filed under the name uncultured bacterium. RNAcentral's name for it is "partial 16S ribosomal RNA". It matches the Rfam family "Bacterial small subunit ribosomal RNA", at positions 29 to 507 of the family's 1533-position model. The record is from RNAcentral.